This 573-nucleotide unclassified non-coding RNA is filed under the name uncultured fungus. RNAcentral's name for it is "sequence contains 18S rRNA gene, ITS1, 5.8S rRNA gene, ITS2". The stretch from base 257 to 411 matches the Rfam family "5.8S ribosomal RNA". The record is from RNAcentral. Lineage: Eukaryota; Fungi.
UAGAGGAAGUAAAAGUCGUAACAAGGUUUCCGUAGGUGAACCUGCGGAAGGAUCAUUACUGAAUUGUCAAACGGGUUGUUGCUGGCCCUCAUAGGGGGCAUGUGCACGCUCUGUUUACACAUCCACUCACACCUGUGCACCCUCUGUAGUUCUAUGGUCUGGGGGACCCUGUCUUCCUUCUGUGGUUCUACKUCUUUACACACACACUGUAAUAAAGUUUUAUGGAAUGUACAUCGCGUCUAACGCAAUACAAUACAACUUUCAGCAACGGAUCUCUUGGCUCUCGCAUCGAUGAAGAACGCAGCGAAAUGCGAUAAGUAAUGUGAAUUGCAGAAUUCAGUGAAUCAUCGAAUCUUUGAACGCACCUUGCGCCCCUUGGCUAUUCCGAGGGGCAUGCCUGUUUGAGUAUCAUGAACACCUCAACUCUCAUGGUUUGCCAUGAUGAGUUGGACUCUGGGGGUUUUGCUGGCCUGUGGUCGGCUCCUCUYAAAUUAAUCAGCCUCCCAGUGUUUGGUGGCAUCAYGGGUGUGAUAAAUAUCUACGCUCGCUGUUGUCUGCCAGGUAACCUUUGGU